Molecule: ribosomal RNA, 115 nt
Filed under: Candidatus Dojkabacteria bacterium CG_4_10_14_0_2_um_filter_Dojkabacteria_WS6_41_15
Lineage: Bacteria
Also listed under: 1 other name
Source: RNAcentral
CUUGGUAACUAGAGCGGAGUGGACCCACCCGAUCCCUUUUCGAACUCGGAAGUGAAACGCCCCAGCGCCGAAGAUACUUGGAUAUUUCUCCUGGGAAAAUAGGUCGUUGCCAAGC